Molecule: long non-coding RNA, 171 nt
Organism: Limulus polyphemus (Atlantic horseshoe crab)
Lineage: Eukaryota; Metazoa; Arthropoda; Merostomata; Xiphosura; Limulidae
Exons: 2
Source: RefSeq, a predicted model, not a curated record
UGUAAAAGGAAGGUAGACUAUCCCUGUAAGAGGAAGUUAGACUAUUCCUGUAUAAUAAGGUUUACUAUGCCUGUAAAAGGAAGGUAGACUAUCCCUGUAGGAGGAAGUUAGACUAUUCCUGUAAAAGGAAGGUAGACUAUCCCUGUAGGAGGAAGUUAGACUAUUCCUGUA